CACUCCAUACCUUCAUUAAUACUGUCUACGUUAAAUCUAAAUGCCUGAAUUUCAAUUUAAAACGUUUUGUGUCUGUGAUUUAACACAGAGUUUAUUUUGAUCAACAAAUAAUGGUAAAUUCCGUUGACAUACAGGACAGCGACGUUAAAGAACAAUACUUAGAAAGCCAUUUUUUUAAAAAUUGAGAAAGUAGCAACAUAGUUGAAAUUUGUAUCCUCCACUACGGUUAAUCAAUAGUUGUUGAGACUCGUAAACAGUCUUUUUUUUGCUAUCAAUAUUAUGUAGUGGAUUUAAUCUACGUUAUACCAGACUACCAGAAGCUUUCAUCUUGUUUGUAUGUACAUUUUUUAUUAUUGCAAUUAAAAACGUGAUUGUUCGUGAUUUUUUUUUCGUACACAAAUAAUAGUAAAUACAAUUCUCUGACAAAGGACAGAUAAAAUGCUGUUCUUGCUUACAAACAAAAACAUUUUGAUCAGCCACCAUUUUACGAGUCAAAGGAUGAUUUAUAAUACCGAUGAAAUACAAUGCAUUUUUUUUUUCAAACACGUCAUGUGUGUUGACGUCUAUUAGUCAUAACUCAUAGAGUAUAAUAAUAUAAAGUGACUAAUGAUUACAAUAAUAUGAUAUACAUUUUUUUUUUUUUUUUGAUUCGAUUUCAAUUGUUUUGAUCUUUUGUGGAAACAAAAAUUUAAAUAAAUAUUGA
Molecule: long non-coding RNA, 703 nt
Organism: Metopolophium dirhodum (rose-grain aphid)
Lineage: Eukaryota; Metazoa; Arthropoda; Insecta; Hemiptera; Aphididae
Exons: 3
Source: RefSeq, a predicted model, not a curated record